ACGGGGCGCAGCAGGCGCGAAAACUGCACAAUGUGGGAAACCACGAUGCGGGAAACCCAAGUGCCAGCACUAUGUGUUGGCUGUCCUCGAGUGUUCGUAACUCGGGAAGAAAGUGCUGGGUAAGACGGGUGCCAGCCGCCGCGGUAAUACCCGCAGCACAAGUGGUGGUCAUUAUUAUUGGGCCUAAAGCGUCCGUAGCUGGUUUGUUAGAUGCCUGGGUAAAUCGAUGCGCUCAACGCAUCGACUUCCGGGUAGACCGGCAAACUCGAGACCGGGAGAGGCGUGAGCUACUCGAGGGGUAGGGGUAAAAUCCUGUAAUCCUUCGGGGAGGACCAGUGGCGAAGGCGUCACGCUAGAACGGCUCUGACAGUGAGGGACGAAGCCCUGGGGCGCAAACCGGAUUAGAUACCCGGGUAGUCCAGGGUGUAAACGCUGCAGACUUGGUGUCGCCGGUCCUACGAGGGCUGGCGGUGCCGGAAAGAAGUUGUUGAGUCUGCCGCCUGGGGAGUACGGUCGCAAGACUGAAACUCAAAGGAAUUGACGGA
This 545-nucleotide ribosomal RNA is filed under the name uncultured archaeon. RNAcentral's name for it is "bacterial SSU rRNA". It matches the Rfam family "Archaeal small subunit ribosomal RNA", at positions 325 to 872 of the family's 1478-position model. The record is from RNAcentral.